RNAcentral lists this long non-coding RNA (276 nucleotides) under Nicotiana benthamiana. RNAcentral describes it as "long non-coding RNA (NBEN_LNC036150)". The record is from RNAcentral. Lineage: Eukaryota; Viridiplantae; Streptophyta; Magnoliopsida; Solanales; Solanaceae.
UCGAUUGUGUAACUUGAAUAAUCGAUUAUUAUGCUUAAAAUCCGCAUAUGAUUUUUGAACGAUCUACAGAUAAUCGAUUAUGCAGAUCAUAUAAUCGAUUAUGCAAGCACAAAAUCAGCAAUUAGUGAUUGGCAAUUAAGCCCUGGUCUUGGUGACUUUGAGCACUAUAAAUACACCUCUAAUUCACGUUUUUAAGUACAACAACUGAUUAUAAUUCUUUCAUAAAGCUUACUUACUCUUCUCUCAUCAUUUCAUAUCUAUUUCAUAAUUUGUGAG